AGUGGCUCAGGGAGACUUCAAGAUCUUCGCUGGAAGCUCUAAGGAUUGGAAUGUUCGAUUCAGCUUCAGUGUGAGCAGCUGUCAGGGCAUCUUUCUUGGAGAGCAUGUCCAUGCCUGGGUCUAUUAUCUUGUCCAAAUAGAUCGUCUGCCCAGGCAGACACAUCCUUUGUCAUCUUUGCUUGUUGUUUCCUGGGUUUCCUAGUACUGUCAAAUGUGACCUUGUGCCUCAGAAUCAUCAUAGACGCUUGGAAAUGGGAGAGAUCUUCUUAUCUCGUUGCUGAUCCAAUACCACAGCAUACACAUGGGGAAACUGAGUCGGUGAUGAACUAUUCACUGGCAGUGCCCCCCGCUCUGAAUUGGGUUUUAAGUGAUGACAAGUCUGCUGAGCCUCAGGUUUAGAGGAAACACCGUGUAGGAGGCAGGAGCGAACGUUUGCUCUGUUCCCAUGGAGCCCAUCAUCUACCUGAGACAACAAGGCAGAUGUCCGCAUAAACGCCAGGGCUGUCCGUGCUCAGGGGCAAAUCAGUGGAAUAGGUAAUACAAAGAGAAAGGCAGGUGAGAGCUCAAUGGGCUAACACGGUCAAGGUAGGCUUCCUGGGGGAAGAGGUAUUUACCUGGCCCAUAAAGAAUAGGUUGAAGCUGGGCAUGGUGGCUCAAGCCUGUAAGCUGAGCACUUUGGGAGGCUGAGGCGGGAGGACUGCUUAGGUCCAGGAGUUCGAGAUCAGCCUGGGCAACAUUGCAAGACUUUAUCUCUACUAAAAAUUAAAAACUUAGCCAGGGCAUUGUGGUACACACCUGUAGUCCCAGCUACUCGGGAGGCUGAAGCAGGAGGAUUGCCUGAGUCUAGGAGUUUGAGGCAGCAGUGAGCUAUGACUGCACCACUGUACUCC
Molecule: long non-coding RNA, 890 nt
Filed under: Pan troglodytes (chimpanzee)
Lineage: Eukaryota; Metazoa; Chordata; Mammalia; Primates; Hominidae
Description: long non-coding RNA NONPTRT012257
Source: RNAcentral